RNAcentral lists this ribosomal RNA (467 nucleotides) under uncultured bacterium. RNAcentral describes it as "partial 16S ribosomal RNA". It matches the Rfam family "Bacterial small subunit ribosomal RNA", at positions 28 to 507 of the family's 1533-position model. The record is from RNAcentral.
GACGGACGCUGGCAGCAUGCUUAACACAUGCAAGUCAAACGGAAAGUGGGUUUUUAAGUGAGGUUUGGGUGGCGGACGGGUGAGUAACGCGUAAAGAAAUUGUCCCCCAGCUAGGGGCAAAAUUUGGAAAAGCAUGCUAAUAUAUAAUAUAAUGAUAAUAGGGCAUCCUAGAGUUAUGAAAGCUAUAAGCGCUGUGAGAGAGCUUUGCGUCCCAUUAGCUAGUUGGGGAGGUAACGGCUCACCAAGGCGUUGAUGGGUAGCCGGCCUGAGAGGGUGAUCGGCCCCAUGGGACCUGGGUCCCGCCCCUUCUCCUUCCGGGGGGCGGCGGUGGGGAUUUUUCGCCAUGGGCCCAAGCCUCUGGUCCAGCCGUUCUGUGUGCGCUGUGGGCUUUCGGGUUGUGUACCGUGCUUUCCGGUGGGGAGGAGCAAGUGACGGUACCGGCUGAAGAAGCGCCGGCUAACUACGUG